Long non-coding RNA from Galleria mellonella (greater wax moth), 661 nucleotides. RefSeq lists it as uncharacterized. The record is from RefSeq and is a predicted model, not a curated record. The transcript has 2 exons. NCBI's taxonomy places the organism in Eukaryota, Metazoa, Arthropoda, Insecta, Lepidoptera, Pyralidae.
CGCCUCCCGUCCGGUGCACCCGCGAUUUUUGUUGUUCUCUGUCAAUACGGGUGUAAUAUGCGUGCCGAAGCCGCUAAGCCGCAUUGUAAAGCCAGACGGACUAACGGGACCACUGUUAUCUGGUCGCAUAUCGGAUUCUCAAACAAUCCAAGGAUGUUGUACUCACUAUUGUAGGUACGUGGCGCAAUAUGGAAGACUAUGACAAAAAUAACGGUCCGUAUAAAAUAAAGCUAUAAUUUAGAAAAACAUUUAAGCACAAAGAAUGAAUUUUCAUAGAAGUAACGGAGCUGUGGAGUUGUUAUUGAUGAAAGCUGUACUUGGCUAACACAUCGUUCUACGAGCUGCAUUGCAUGUCAAUGAUCUCACAACAACGGGACAUAGAUAAUAAGAGAAGAGUUUAAUUACUGCAGCGUCGAGUCAGCUCAACACAGGCGGGCGUCGAGCCGUCGGCGUCGGGCGGGUGAAAGGGACACGUGGUCCUGAUACAGGAAGCCCGGGAGCUAACACACUUUUUAUUCUAUACGUACACACUCCUAAUGUCAUCGUACGUAUCACCCUGCAUCAACUACUCUCAUGUCACCGAGACCGAGAACGAUGUAAUACAAUUUAGUCUCAUAGCAAACAAACAUAAUAAAAAAUGCCGUAUGGUAUUGGCUUUUAA